ACAUAAAAGAUUAAUAAUUUUUACUAAAAAUGUAUUUUUAUUCUAAUUUCUCAAUGUGUUUUAAAUAUUUAAAUAUUAAUAUCGUGAUUUCAGAUUUAUAUAAUAUAUUUAAAGUUUGUAUCAAGUAAUUUUCUUGUGCACAGGAACACAGUGCUCAUUAAAAUUAAACACACAAUCGGCAUCAAGGUGAUAAUGGAUAAUUUUGAUAAUAUAAAUUAUCAAUAACAAUUUUAGCAGAUUUUGAUAACAAUCCAGUUGGUGACACUGUUAACCGUAUGCUUAUGAUUUUAUUUUUUGAGAUAAAAUUUUUAUUAAAAAAGUAAAGGUUACAAAUUUGUUUGCAAUCGCAAGGAAGAAAGAAGCUGAAAUUUCAUAAGCUAUAAAUCUUUAUACAUUAAACAUUUUAUUACUUCAAUUUACUUUAUAAUCAUGUUGGGUUUAUCGAAAUUAGCUCAGCCUAUGGCCAAGCAAUCCCUUCAAGUAAUGUCCAAGAGAACAAAUAUUACUGUUAACGGUCCACCUCAAGUCAGAAUGCCAAAAUGGCAACAAUUGCUUAUUGGAGGUUCUGCAUCUGGAUCAAUCUUGAUCAUACCUAUAUGGGUUCUGUAUGACUUAAAGAGUCUUCCACGAGCAUAAUUACUUUACUUCAUGUUUUUGUUGCAUUAUUAUAAAAUUAGAUAUGUACUAUGUAAACAUUUUUUUCUAUAGAAAUAAAAUGAAAUUGUAGUUGAAAUACUACCAACUGUAUAA
Molecule: long non-coding RNA, 750 nt
Organism: Metopolophium dirhodum (rose-grain aphid)
Lineage: Eukaryota; Metazoa; Arthropoda; Insecta; Hemiptera; Aphididae
Exons: 2
Source: RefSeq, a predicted model, not a curated record